AUACGGAGGGGGCUAGCGUUGUGCGGAAUUACUGGGCGUAAAGCGCGCGUAGGCGGGCUGGUCAGUCAGGGGUGAAAUCCCGGGGCUCAACCCCGGAACUGCCUUUGAUACUGCCAGUCUAGAGGUCGAGAGAGGUGAGUGGAAUUCCGAGUGUAGAGGUGAAAUUCGUAGAUAUUCGGAGGAACACCAGUGGCGAAGGCGGCUCACUGGCUCGAUUCUGACGCUGAGGUGCGAAAGCGUGGGGAGCAAACAGGAUUAGAAACCCUAGUAGUCC
This 274-nucleotide ribosomal RNA is filed under the name uncultured bacterium. RNAcentral's name for it is "partial 16S ribosomal RNA". It matches the Rfam family "Bacterial small subunit ribosomal RNA", at positions 523 to 796 of the family's 1533-position model. The record is from RNAcentral.